GGAGGGGUGGCAGAACGGCUAAUGCACCGGUCUUGAAAACCGGCGCCCUCACGGGCUUCAGGGUUCGAAUCCCUGCCCCUCCG
RNAcentral lists this transfer RNA (83 nucleotides) under Gemmatimonadota bacterium. Its description in RNAcentral is "Gemmatimonadetes bacterium tRNA-Ser". It matches the Rfam family "tRNA". Rfam says of the family: Transfer RNA (tRNA) molecules are approximately 80 nucleotides in length. Their secondary structure includes four short double-helical elements and three loops (D, anti-codon, and T loops). Lineage: Bacteria; Pseudomonadati; Gemmatimonadota. The record is from RNAcentral. RNAcentral also lists the same sequence under 1 other name.